Molecule: long non-coding RNA, 497 nt
Filed under: Gallus gallus (chicken)
Lineage: Eukaryota; Metazoa; Chordata; Aves; Galliformes; Phasianidae
Description: long non-coding RNA NONGGAT008217
Source: RNAcentral
GCCAAUUAUUCAUCCAUCUCAUGAUUUUUGGUUGCUUCCUGUAAGGCAAAAUGACUUGGUUUGUUAACACAAAACAUUCAACAAACUUCUGGGACAACGUGAGCUUGGAGAUGCCCUGGAUUUUGAGGUUCUAUUACACAGCAUCACUCUGCUUGGCUUUCUUACAGAGACUGGGGGUAUGACAGUUCAGCAUCUCUCUCCUGGUUUCUGUUCUUUCCCCCAUUCUCAGCCUAGCUGAUAAUCUGUAAGAAAGAGCCUUUACCUAGCAUGGAAACUGGAAGAGAUUUUGGGAAGUGAGAGCAUCUUAGGGCUCAAUACCUCCCUUCUGCUUUCAGCACAGUGGAAAUAGGUGGCCCCUUGCUCAUUCGCUGGUUUUAAGUACAUUUUAAUUAAGAGCUCUUCUGCUUUCUCCAGAGCCCCCGACUGCCCUUGUGCCAGAAGUGCAGUAUUUACAGAAAAGAUGAGGACUGAGGUUUUAUAAGACUGAGAAAUGUGCC